CCUCCUAAUCCCUCGCUCGCCGCAGCGGGAGGCCUUAAGCUGCCUAUUCAGGCCCUUUCCUCGGCGCGCUCUGGCUCUCGGCGCUUUCAAUGGCUCUCCCUGGCAGGAGACGUGUUGGACAAGUGGAGGGAUCCGUCCCCCGCCAGCAAGGUCAAGAUUGCUACCACAUCUGUUUUUAUUGGUGAGACUUCUGCAUUGUGCCACGAAAGAAAUACAAGCACGUGCAUCGUUGUCAUCUUGUGACAAGUCACCUGGAUUCUGGACUCUCUGCUACGCGCCAUCAAGAUCAAGGGUUGUAUUACCUGAACCAGACAAGAACUGUCUGAAAAAUGAGGCCUCUUGGAUGGAUUUGCCACACUACCAAGUUGCUGUUGCUUUACAGCGAAAUGGAUCAGACCUAUGAUUGAGUGCCAGCAAAAAAAUGAAAGCGGACAGAUUUAGGCCGGAACUAGACACAUCAAAUAAGUGAUUCAGCUAACGCGGCGUUGGAAACUCAUACAGAGAAAUCCGCGGAGUCCCAGGGUCUGAUCUGUCCACCCCUACUGGGAACAUCUGGGUGUUCAGGGGACCUGUUUCCGAAGUCUGGAUAAGAGGUAGCAAAACUGCUGCACAAUAAAAGCGUGUUGUAUGCUGCUUGCCUCCGCUUAUGAUCUACUUAUAAAUAAACCAAAUAUUACAAACUCAUAACUGUCUGAUGCUCUCUCCUCCAGAGGAAGCCAGACCUGGCUAGCAGUGCACCUUGGAAUUUUUCACCCGUUGGGGAGGCAUGGAACACAAAACAGUACUCAGUGCCGGCCCACU
This is a long non-coding RNA of Zootoca vivipara (common lizard), 801 nucleotides long. RefSeq lists it as uncharacterized. Lineage: Eukaryota; Metazoa; Chordata; Lepidosauria; Squamata; Lacertidae. The record is from RefSeq and is a predicted model, not a curated record.